This 357-nucleotide ribosomal RNA is filed under the name uncultured bacterium. RNAcentral's name for it is "bacterial SSU rRNA". It matches the Rfam family "Bacterial small subunit ribosomal RNA", at positions 373 to 756 of the family's 1533-position model. The record is from RNAcentral.
GGGCGCAGCCUGAGGACACGCCGCGUGGGGAGGCCCUUUCGGGGUGUAAACCGCUGUUCGUGGGGACGAAGCACUGACGGUACCCACGGAGGAGGCCCGGCUAACUACGUGCCAGCAGCCGCGGUAAUACGUAGGGGCCGAGCGUUGUCCGGAGUUACUGGGCGUAAAGCGUGCGCAGGCGGCGCGUUCUGCCCGGCGUGAAAGCCCCCCGGCUCAACCGGGGAGGGUCGUCGGGGACGGGCUGCUUGAGGGUAUCAGGGGCUGGUGGAAUUCCGGUGUAGUGGUGAAAUGCGUAGAGAUCGGGAGGAACACCUGUGGCGAAGGCGCCAGCUGGAUACACCUGACGCUGAGGAGCAA